Molecule: long non-coding RNA, 1845 nt
Filed under: Salmo salar (Atlantic salmon)
Lineage: Eukaryota; Metazoa; Chordata; Actinopteri; Salmoniformes; Salmonidae
Description: lncRNA (ENSSSAG00000099681.1)
Source: RNAcentral
UCUCUCUCUCUCUCUCUCUCUAGCAAACACAUUUUAUCCUCUAGCCUUGUUUUUGUUCUCCUUUCUUUUGUAGUUCUCCUCCUCUCCUCCUCAACCAGAGGUAGACCUUUAGAUCUCAUUUCACUGUGGGGUUUCAGGCUGGGUUUCUGUAUACGCACUUUUUGACAUCUACUGAUGUAAAAAGGGCUUUAUAAAUACAUUUGUUUUGACUUGAUUUGAACUCCUGUCGUCUGGGGGAUUCAUCAGUAUAAACGAGGUCAGGGUUGGGUUAUUAAUUGAUGUAGCUCAUGAAACAUGUAUCUGUGUUGUGUCUGGGCGGCGCUAGUGAGGGGGUGGUGGUGGAUGGGUUAGAGGUAGAGUGGGAGGGUUAGGGUGUGUGUGUGUGUGUGUGCCAUGGUGUUUCUGCCUGACUGUUUGGCCGUUGCCUUGGCUGAGUCACUGUAACUAAAGCCAGUCUGUAACCAGUCUGUCCUGACCCAUCCGACUGACUGCUGCUCCACAUUUUUCAUUAAGUUGGUUACCGGGAAACCACAUACUGUUCACUACAACGUUCCUAAACAGCGUCACAUACAGCCUCACAGCAUGACUGUCUGUCUUUUCCGAGGCCCAGCUAAAAAAACAAUCUCUGUUUCAUUUCAUUUCAUUCUACUACCGUUUAUAAGUAGUCAAUACUGUCGUAAUUCAUGUUUUAACUACCAUUGCCAUAUUUUUUUCUCAUCUGUGUGUGGGUGAGAAUGUGUGUGUGUGUGAACGAGGCAGUCUGUAAGGGUAGAUUGACCCGACUGGUGAUGUAUUCUAUUGCUUCCUCAGAAGUAUUCCACUGAGCCGCUGGAACAGACCAGGGCUGGAGAAAAGGCACAUUUGACAUUUCCAUACUUCCAUAUUCACGCUCUCUCUUUCGCAAUUUUUGAAUCGCUCCCUCUCUUGCUUUCUCUCUCUUUCGCUCUUCGUCUCUCUCUCUCUCUCUCUCUCUCUCUCUCUCUCUCUCUCUCUCUGUCUGUUUGCCUCUUUUCCUCUCUUUCACACUCUCUCACCAUAGUUUUAUAUGCUUCUCAAUAAGUGAUAUUGCCCUCCGUUCCAAACAUAUUGCUACCGUAUUACUCCUUUCUCUGCUUUUUAAUGUGGUUCUAAGUCUUUUCUGGGUUGUAAGGAGGAGGAGUCGGGGGAAGGGGGAGAAUAUUCUAACCAAACAGCUGGUUUUGGUGCUUGAUGUUUCCACAGUGUUCCACACGUUAGACUUAGAAGUGGAUCAAGUGCCUGCCAUAUCCAACAAGUCAUAUAUUUUUUUUGUAUAGCAAAUAUUACGUCAUGCACAUUUUCAUUCAUUUUUUUAUUUUAUGCGUUUAAGACCUUUGUUUGUGUCGUCUGUCUUAUUGACACAUUGAUUGCAUUGUUUUGCCUGCCACAAAGCUAUUGUUUUAAUCAUGAGAGAAAAAUAGUAAUCCUACACGAUGUAUUUUUAUGACUGUUCCUUGUCAUCUUUUAUAAACGGUAAUUAGGUACUAUCUAUGGUGUUUUCCCAAUGACUUAUGUAAUAAGAACAGUGUGAUUGGUUUAUAAGAAUUGUACCUGGUGUAUUAAAAACUCUAUACAGCCUCUGUCUCUGUACUGUACAUAUCACAUUUGACUAAAUAAAUAAAUAUGGAAGGCUGCUUCCUUCCUGGUUACAACUAACUAGAACUUUGUGGCACAAACUGAAACAAAUGAUUACGUCUCCAACAAUGUCAUUGUUGUAACAGAUUCACAAAGUAUCCCUUGUCUCUGAGUAGAACUUCAUUGACUGAUUUAUGUGGUGAGGACGUUCCAAACUCGGAAUAUGGACCAGUAAACACAGAGUAGAGGAAA